CCCUUAGAUGUUCUGGGCCGCACGCGUGCUACACUGAGUGGAUCAGCGGGUCAGGUUGCGCGAAAGUGUUUCCUAAUCUUUAAAUCCGCUCGUGAUGGGGAUUGACGGUUGCAAUUUUCCGUCAUGAACGAGGAAUACCUUGUAAGCGCGGGUCAUCAUCCCGCGCUGAAUACGUCCCUGCCCUUUGUACACACCGCCCGUCGCUCCUACCGAUUGAGUGGUCCGGUGAGGCUUUGGGAUCUGAGCGGAAAGAGCGUUUCGCUGUUUCUGCCCGGAAAACUCAGUCGAACCUUAUCAUUUAGAGGAAGGAGAAGUCGGAACA
RNAcentral lists this ribosomal RNA (322 nucleotides) under uncultured eukaryote. RNAcentral's name for it is "partial 18S ribosomal RNA". It matches the Rfam family "Eukaryotic small subunit ribosomal RNA", at positions 1470 to 1796 of the family's 1831-position model. The record is from RNAcentral.